This 1171-nucleotide long non-coding RNA is filed under the name Homo sapiens (human). RNAcentral describes it as "HSALNT0189067". Lineage: Eukaryota; Metazoa; Chordata; Mammalia; Primates; Hominidae. The record is from RNAcentral.
CUCCUCCCUCCUCUUCCCCCACAGCCUGGGGGAGGCUCCGAGGCUCGCGCGCUGGCUCCGCGCCCCCGCGUCCGAACGUCCCCCUUUCACGCGCAGCCCUGGCCACCGAGGGGCGGGAGCUCCAGGUGGCCCGCGAGCCCCCCUGGGGCGAGUGCGGGGGUGAACCGAGAGCACCCACCAGCAUCUCUUUGCUGGAGGGCGGGCCCUAGUCGGAGCCACACAGCAUUGCGCGACAGAAUCCCACCGCUGGGGUUCUGCUCCUCGUGGAGCCAGGCCUUGGGAAGCACGGGGGUGUCCCUCGGCCACUCGCUCGGCUGGCGUGCACACGGGUGGAUAGUUCACGCCCGCCUCGGGAUACGGACGUGUGGAUCUGGAUUUCGGACCUGGACAGACGCGUCCGGGAAUACUCACAGGGUAGCAGAGAGCACCUGACUGCCCUGGUACAGGAAGCCACUCACCCCGGUCCGCUGGUGACACAGACAGCCGUGCUGCCCAGGACCCAGAAAACCUCACCUUGUGGCACAGAAGGUGCCCGCUGCCUCCCUCUCUUGUAGCCUUGCUGACUCCGACAAACCUGUGUUUGUCUCAGAGGCCAGCUCCUGCAGGACUGAACUACGCCUCCUUCCCCUAACCGUCACUGCCACCAGUCCGAUGGCCUGACUCCUCAGCACAGUGAGCCUUGGGGUGCCGAGAGCAGGCCUCCUCAAAACCCUGGAGGGGCUGUCACUAUAGGGAGGGGAUACAUUGUGAGAAUUCUGGAAUCACAGGGACCAUUGGACAACCUGAGGGUAACUGACUUCUGCAGGGGUCAGGAGGAUGCCCCAGAGUCAGUGGCUUCUGGGCUGGGGUUGGAGGGAGGAAUAAAAUAAAAGUUCACCAGGGCCGGAGGCUCGGCCCCAGGGAGGAUUAUUUGAGGCCUGAAGUUCUGGACCAGCCCAGGCAACACAGUGAGAUACCAUCUCUGAAAAAAAAAAAUUAAAAUAUUAGCCAGCUGUGGUGGUACGUGUCUGUAGUCCUACCUACUCUGGAGGCUGAGGCAGAAAGAUUGCUUGAGCCCAGGAGUUGGAAGCUGCAGUGAGCUAUGAUUGUGCCACUGCACUCCAGCCUGGGUGACAGACUGAGACUCCAUCUCUAAAAAAGUUUAAAAGUUCACCAGAGAAGGAAGAGAAGU